ACUAUCGUUAACUGAAUACAUAGGUUAACGAGGCGAACCGGGGGAACUGAAACAUCUAAGUACCCCGAGGAAAAGAAAUCAACCGAGAUUCCCCCAGUAGCGGCGAGCGAACGGGGAGCAGCCCAGAGUCUGAAUCAGCUUGUGUGUUAGUGGAACGGUCUGGAAAGUCCGACGGUACAGGGUGAUAGUCCCGUACACCAAAAUGCACAGGCUGUGAACUCGAAGAGUAGGGCGGGACACGUGGUAUCCUGUCUGAAUAUGGGGGGACCAUCCUCCAAGGCUAAAUACUCCUGACUGACCGAUAGUGAACCAGUACCGUGAGGGAAAGGCGAAAAGAACCCCGGCGAGGGGAGUGAAAAAGAACCUGAAACCGUGUACGUACAAGCAGUGGGAGCACCUUCGGGUGUGACUGCGUACCUUUUGUAUAAUGGGUCAGCGACUUAUAUUCUGUAGCAAGGUUAACCGUAUAGGGGAGCCGCAGGGAAACCGAGUCUUAACUGGGCGUUAAGUUGCAGGGUAUAGACCCGAAACCCGGUGAUCUAGCCAUGGGCAGGUUGAAGGUUGGGUAACACUAACUGGAGGACCGAACCGACUAAUGUUGAAAAAUUAGCGGAUGACUUGUGGCUGGGGGUGAAAGGCCAAUCAAACCGGGAGAUAGCUGGUUCUCCCCGAAAGCUAUUUAGGUAGCGCCUCGUGAAUUCAUCUUCGGGGGUAGAGCACUGUUUCGGCUAGGGGGUCAUCCCGACUUACCAACCCGAUGCAAACUACGAAUACCGAAGAAUGUUAUCACGGGAGACACACGGCGGGUGCUAACGUCCGUCGUGAAGAGGGAAACAACCCAGACCGCCAGCUAAGGUCCCAAAGUCAUGGUUAAGUGGGAAACGAUGUGGGAAGGCACAGACAGCCAGGAUGUUGGCUUAGAAGCAGCCAUCAUUUAAAGAAAGCGUAAUAGCUCACUGGUCGAGUCGGCCUGCGCGGAAGAUGUAACGGGGCUAAACCAUGCACCGAAGCUGCGGCAGCGACACUAUGUGUUGUUGGGUAGGGGAGCGUUCUGUAAGCCUGCGAAGGUGUGCUGUGAGGCAUGCUGGAGGUAUCAGAAGUGCGAAUGCUGACAUAAGUAACGAUAAAGCGGGUGAAAAGCCCGCUCGCCGGAAGACCAAGGGUUCCUGUCCAACGUUAAUCGGGGCAGGGUGAGUCGACCCCUAAGGCGAGGCCGAAAGGCGUAGUCGAUGGGAAACAGGUUAAUAUUCCUGUACUUGGUGUUACUGCGAAGGGGGGACGGAGAAGGCUAUGUUAGCCGGGCGACGGUUGUCCCGGUUUAAGCAUGUAGGCUGAUUGUCCAGGCAAAUCCGGAUAAUCAAGGCUGAGGUGUGAUGACGAGGCACUACGGUGCUGAAGUAACAAAUGCCCUGCUUCCAGGAAAAGCCUCUAAGCAUCAGGUAACAUUAAAUCGUACCCCAAACCGACACAGGUGGUCAGGUAGAGAAUACCAAGGCGCUUGAGAGAACUCGGGUGAAGGAACUAGGCAAAAUGGUGCCGUAACUUCGGGAGAAGGCACGCUGGUGUGUAGGUGAAGUCCCUGCGGAUGGAGCUGAGACCAGUCGAAGAUACCAGCUGGCUGCAACUGUUUAUUAAAAACACAGCACUGUGCAAACACGAAAGUGGACGUAUACGGUGUGACGCCUGCCCGGUGCCGGAAGGUUAAUUGAUGGGGUUAUCCGUAAGGAGAAGCUCUUGAUCGAAGCCCCGGUAAACGGCGGCCGUAACUAUAACGGUCCUAAGGUAGCGAAAUUCCUUGUCGGGUAAGUUCCGACCUGCACGAAUGGCGUAAUGAUGGCCAGGCUGUCUCCACCCGAGACUCAGUGAAAUUGAACUCGCUGUGAAGAUGCAGUGUACCCGCGGCAAGACGGAAAGACCCCGUGAACCUUUACUAUAGCUUGACACUGAACAUUGAGCCUUGAUGUGUAGGAUAGGUGGGAGGCUUUGAAGCGUGGACGCCAGUCUGCGUGGAGCCAACCUUGAAAUACCACCCUUUAAUGUUUGAUGUUCUAACGUUGGCCCCUUACCGGGGUUGCGGACAGUGUCUGGUGGGUAGUUUGACUGGGGCGGUCUCCUCCCAAAGCGUAACGGAGGAGCACGAAGGUUAGCUAAUCCUGGUCGGACAUCAGGAGGUUAGUGCAAUGGCAUAAGCUAGCUUGACUGCGAGCGUGACGGCGCGAGCAGGUGCGAAAGCAGGUCAUAGUGAUCCGGUGGUUCUGAAUGGAAGGGCCAUCGCUCAACGGAUAAAAGGUACUCCGGGGAUAACAGGCUGAUACCGCCCAAGAGUUCAUAUCGACGGCGGUGUUUGGCACCUCGAUGUCGGCUCAUCACAUCCUGGGGCUGAAGUAGGUCCCAAGGGUAUGGCUGUUCGCCAUUUAAAGUGGUACGCGAGCUGGGUUUAGAACGUCGUGAGACAGUUCGGUCCCUAUCUGCCGUGGGCGCUGGAGAAUUGAGGGGGGCUGCUCCUAGUACGAGAGGACCGGAGUGGACGCAUCACUGGUGUUCGGGUUGUCAUGCCAAUGGCACUGCCCGGUAGCUAAAUGCGGAAGAGAUAAGUGCUGAAAGCAUCUAAGCACGAAACUUGCCCCGAGAUGAGUUCU
This 2639-nucleotide ribosomal RNA is filed under the name Klebsiella pneumoniae subsp. pneumoniae. RNAcentral describes it as "bacterial LSU rRNA". It matches the Rfam family "Bacterial large subunit ribosomal RNA". Lineage: Bacteria; Pseudomonadati; Pseudomonadota; Gammaproteobacteria; Enterobacterales; Enterobacteriaceae. The record is from RNAcentral.